CCUUUGACGUUAGCGGCGGACGGGUGAGUAACACGUGGGUAACCUACCUAUAAGACUGGGAUAACUUCGGGAAACCGGAGCUAAUACCGGAUAAUAUUUGAACCGCAUGGUUCGAUAGUGAAAGAUGGUUUUGCUAUCACUUAUAGAUGGACCCGCGCCGUAUUAGCUAGUUGGUAAGGUAACGGCUUACCAAGGCGACGAUACGUAGCCGACCUGAGAGGGUGAUCGGCCACACUGGAACUGAGACACGGUCCAGACUCCUACGGGAGGCAGCAGCG
This 278-nucleotide ribosomal RNA is filed under the name uncultured Staphylococcus sp. RNAcentral describes it as "partial 16S ribosomal RNA". It matches the Rfam family "Bacterial small subunit ribosomal RNA", at positions 83 to 356 of the family's 1533-position model. The record is from RNAcentral. Lineage: Bacteria; Bacillati; Bacillota; Bacilli; Caryophanales; Staphylococcaceae.